GCUCCUCGUCCGCCUCAGUGACGUUUACAACAGGUCGUUUCUGGAGAACCUGAAAGUGAACACGGAGAAUCUGCUGCAAGUUGAAAACACAGGGAAGGUGAAAGGGCUUAUUCUUACCCUUAAAGGAGAGCCUGGUGGGCAGACCCAAGCAUUUGACUUUUACUCAAGAUAUUUUGCACCGUGGGUUGGUGUGGCUGAAGACCCAGUGACAGGUACGAAGACUAAAAAUCAGGAUGAAUCCAGAAAAUUAACACAAAAAAGUAUGUAUUAGGCUACUUCCUGUCAUAGUGAAAUUAAACACUCAAAGUAAUGUAAUCUCAGCUGGGCGUGGCGGCUCAUGCCUGUAAUCCCAGCACUUUGGCAGGACAAGGCAGGAGGAUCACUUGAACCUAGGAGUUCGAGACCAGCCUGGGCAACACAGCGAGAACUUGUCUCUAUU
Molecule: long non-coding RNA, 439 nt
Filed under: Homo sapiens (human)
Lineage: Eukaryota; Metazoa; Chordata; Mammalia; Primates; Hominidae
Description: non-protein coding lnc-ATOH7-2:1
Source: RNAcentral